AUCAUAAAAUUGAUCCAGCAAGGGGGUCAUGUGGUGCGAUGCUCCCGAGUCUAGACACCAAUUUUCAUCGGCCACAUCUCCUCCAUAGGCUGUUGAGAAGAUGAGUCGACUAAGGUGCCUGCUAUUAAGUUCUGUUGUUGGAGACUCGUCAGAAGGAAUGUAAUCGAACGUCUAAAGAUGGGGGCGUCGCUAGAGUGUGCAGUCGUCGGAUUCCCAAUUAGGGUUUUUCGUCCACGGUGAGAAAGGUGGUUAACGGAAAAAACCGACGCUAAGGAGGGAG
This 280-nucleotide long non-coding RNA is filed under the name Zostera marina. RNAcentral describes it as "long non-coding RNA (ZMAR_LNC005384)". Lineage: Eukaryota; Viridiplantae; Streptophyta; Magnoliopsida; Alismatales; Zosteraceae. The record is from RNAcentral.